GACGAACGCUGGCGGCGUGCCUAACACAUGCAAGUCGAGGGGAAACGAUAGAGAAAGCUUGCUUUUUCUAGGCGUCGACCGGCGCACGGGUGAGUAACGCGUAUCCAACCUGCCCAUCACUUGGGGAUAACCUUGCGAAAGUAAGACUAAUACCCAAUGAUAUCUCUAGAAGACAUCUGAAAGAGAUUAAAGAUUUAUCGGUGAUGGAUGGGGAUGCGUCUGAUUAGCUUGUUGGCGGGGUAACGGCCCACCAAGGCGACGAUCAGUAGGGGUUCUGAGAGGAAGGUCCCCCACAUUGGAACUGAGACACGGUCCAAACUCCUACGGGAGGCAGCAGUGAGGAAUAUUGGUCAAUGGACGAGAGUCUGAACCAGCCAAGUAGCGUGCAGGAUGACGGCCCUAUGGGUUGUAAACUGCUUUUAUAAGGGAAUAAAGUGGGAGUCGUGACUCUUUUUGCAUGUACCUUAUGAAUAAGGACCGGCUAAUUCCGUG
Molecule: ribosomal RNA, 492 nt
Filed under: uncultured bacterium
Lineage: Bacteria
Description: bacterial SSU rRNA
Rfam family: Bacterial small subunit ribosomal RNA
Source: RNAcentral